CUCAAUCAAAAGUUCAAGCCUCCUCUUCCUGGUAAAUUUAUAACCAAAUUAGAAUUCAAGAUCCACAACAUGAAAAUUAAAAUGGGCAAAGCUCUUUGCAGAGGGUAAAAGUAGAAUAUUCAAUAAAAGCCAUUCAUAGGAAUUCAUUCUAAUAAAAGACCAACAAGAGAGAUUACAAUUGAGAGAGCAAUAUAAACAACACGACAAAUUUGUCAUCUUGUGAGUCCCAAAUGCAAGAGCCAGGGACCAAAGGCUGCAACGAAAUCUCAUGAAAUCUGGGGUUGUGGCUCAAGAAACACAAAACACUUUGAACCUCUUUACACCAUUGCCAUGUCCUCCACAUGAAAUCCUGAUUCCACAUUCCAAACUUAAAUUGUGCCAAUCAAUGUGCAACGUGAAUGGCCAGUUAGUUUAGUAGUCCCUGAAACAUUUUGGUCCAAAAAUGAAAGAAUGUAGAGCUUUUCCCCCCUUAAUGAAAUCAAAAUGAACCAAAAUUCUUCAUUCAUCAUUCGCUCGGUCAAAGCUUUCUAUUGUUAGCCUGGCUAGAUGAAGAUGAUGAUGCUUUCAAUCUAAGAACACUCUCAUCCUGAUCAGGACGGAAGAGAAGGUUACUCCAGUUAGUUGACCUUUGGACAAUCCUGGAAGGAACCCUGUCACUAUCUUCCCCACCAGAUGCUUCAUAUCCAUCGCUAGCAGACCUUGAUAGUGGGAUUCCACCGUGAGAAGCAGCACCUGCAAUAGAUAUACCUGUGAGCCUCCUAGACUCUUCAGCUCCAGAUGAGGAAACACGAAAUGGGUGGAUAUCUGGUGAAUCUAAACUGCUUUCUGGAGAAGAAGCAACAAUCCCUACUGAGCUUGACAUUGCUCGGCUAGUCUGGAAAGCACUCCUUGCCUCAAGCUGAAGAGGGGCCAAGCUUGUGGAUGUCUCGGUGAAAAUUUUCUCAGCAGCCAUACCUGAAACCUUAGUUACGGGCUCCAUAGGUAGGUCAGCUGGCAGGCGUACUCUCUUAUUAACUUUCCUCCUACUAUUGUCAGGCCUUGGGACCAUCCGACGGCCACUGCUGCCAAAGCUACUAUCUCCUUCUAGCCCAAAAGGGGCUUCCCGUCGCACCAAAGGCCGCAAGAUUCGGGAUUUUUUUCUUGCCUCUGCUGCAGCUUUUGAAACCUCUUCUGCAUUUAAUCGGGCCAAUGUCCAUGGGCUGAUCUUUACUGCUGCUGGGUUCUUUUUCCUGUUUGGCUCCUCUCCCACUGUCUUUUUUCCUAAAGAACUGACAGAUCCAGUCUCUGGAGGAACAACAUCAAACUGAUCUUCCAGGAAAAGGCGAGGUGGUGUACACCAUGCACCCCGGUGGAAAGUAGAAAAGGAGCUUGCACUGCUCAAUCCAGUAAGUGAACUGGCAGGAGACAUCUGGGGACUCCGUUGACCUCCAACACCUUGUUGCUCUUGCUCCUGCUCCCUUAGAGCUAUAAUGUAAUCAUAUGUGCUGAUUCCCUGUAACAAUCAACCAAAUUAAUCUAUUGACAUAUUCACUUGAUACAAUAACUCCAUAGAUAAAAAAAAUAAUAAAUACAUAAAUAAAUAAAUAAUUACAAAACAAGUAAAUGUCAAAUAAAAACAAAAGGCUGCAGCCUAUCCUGACAAUAAAAAUUCAAAAAAAGUUGUGCAUAUUCCACACAUCAAGAAACUAGGGAAAUUCAUCAAAAAGUUUUCAUUAUCACAAGAAAAUGAUUCAACAUUACUUUCUUAAUGAGGAGGAUAUGAAAGAAGAAAAGCUGAGCAAGAGGUAGGGUAGCAAUCAUAGCCAAAAUGGUGCACGCCGCCACAACAAUAAUAAAUGGGACCAAAGAGAAACUGCUUCCUAAUUUGGAGGAGAUGUCCACAGAAAAUCGCUUCCGCUCAAGAAAACAGCAUACAAGUACUAGGAUCCCAGUCGACCAUUGUAGAAUAAGCUGCAAUCUCAAGCCCAAGGUGCACAAACCAUGUAUAUACCUGUCAAUAAUCAAUUAAAAUGAAAAUGACUUGAAAAAUAAAAGUCUUACUCUGGAUGAUCUUCAGUCCUGCCAAUGUCGCUUAGGAAAAUCAAAGAGGCAAAUUCAGGAUGCAAACACUAUUUUUAGAAGUUGGGAUUUUAUUGGGGAACUAUUGAGUACGAAGAAUAGCAUAAGCCACAGGUAUACCACAAACAAUGUUGCACAGCAGGAAAAGGAUUCUACGAAAAAGGGUCAAAUCAUGAUUGUCCUGGAUAAAUUGUGGGAACGUUAAGGAUAAUUUAAAGAAAUGGUCAAAGAUGGAUCAUGUCUUUCAUCAUAAUAGGGAUCAAGAAACUUGCUUGGGGCAGGAUGGAAAUAUUUGAGACAGAAUCGAAUAACACUCAACAGUUAAUACAGGAUUUGCAGCUGUAAUUUGUUGAUGACUGGCCUGACCAUUUGAAGAUUCCAGGUAAGGCAGAAUUUGGAGACUUGUGCUUACCAAGAGGAGAGCAGAAACCAUUAGGGUGAAAAACUGUCUGUAAUUCCGCUUGCCAAUACAGUUGUUAAGCCACCUGCAGUGAUGAUCAAAACAGUCCACACACUUGUCACAAACUCUGCAGUGCUUGCUAUACUUGAAAACCUCAACCUCACACAAACUGCAAUAAAACAUGCCAUCUUCACUCGUCUGUUGUGAUGAAGAUUCAUCACUUGAACUGCAGAAAUUGCAGAUGAGAGCACAUGGAAACAAAGCCCAAAGGAGGCAAGAUGAAUUUCCUGAUGUUGCAUUCUUCUGCUCAAAAUCAGUAUUAGGGACUUUUGAAGUUGCAUCUGCAACCUCAGAUCCCUUAUUUAGAUAUUUACCCGCAACAGUGGAAGCAUUUGCAUCAUGCCUUGAUGAAGUUGACUCCCCACCUACACCUAGUUUAGAAUCCUUUUGUUGGGCAUGCUUUCUAUCAUGUGGAAUGUUGAGAUACUUUUUGGACCUAAAAACUCCUGGGUCCGCAGGAUCAGCUGCCGCACACCAAAUAUAUAGGCCAAAGACACAUGUAAUCUGAAAAGAAAAUAGAUGUUAUAUAAGUUCCAAGCAAUGGAUGCCACAUCUAAUAUAAGUAAAAAGGAAACACAGACUGAAAUUUAUGUCUGUGUUUCACUAACAUAUACCAUAAUAUUCUUUUGAGCCUAGUGACUAAGGCUAAAAAUAUGUUCAUAUGUGCAUAGAACCUCAACAUUACUGAAAUUUAAGCCUUACACAGUGUCUGAUAAAUAACUUAGCAAUGGCAAACACAUCUGUAAUUUGCGAAGUGUCCUAAUAUACCACAAGGAAAAAAAAACUCUUGUAAUACAACAUAGUAGAAUUGUAUAUAUUAAUUAUGAUUUAAUGCCAAUGCCCAUUAACUUCUAAUAUAAAUCUAAUCAGCCCGAGAUAUCCUAAGCUAAUCAGAUUUUUGGCAUAGUGAAAAGAUAAAUGCACAACUGCACAAGUAUGCAUUUGCCAACAGAAUCUAAAAAAACUAACCAACUCAACUAAGCCUUUAUUCCA
Molecule: unclassified non-coding RNA, 3511 nt
Filed under: Hevea brasiliensis (rubber tree)
Lineage: Eukaryota; Viridiplantae; Streptophyta; Magnoliopsida; Malpighiales; Euphorbiaceae
Source: RNAcentral